GAUGAACGCUGGCGGCGUGCCUAAUACAUGCAAGUCGAGCGAACGGACGAGAAGCUUGCUUCUCUGAUGUUAGCGGCGGACGGGUGAGUAACACGUGGAUAACCUACCUAUAAGACUGGGAUAACUUCGGGAAACCGUAGCUAAUACCGGAUAAUAUUUUGAACCGCAUGGUUCAAAAGUGAAAGACGGUCUUGCUGUCACUUAUAGAUGGAUCCGCGCUGCAUUAGCUAGUUGGUCAGGUAACGGCUUACCAAGGCAACGAUGCAUAGCCGACCUGAGAGGGUGAUCGGCCACACUGGAACUGAGACACGGUCCAGACUCCUACGGGAGGCAGCAGUAGGGAAUCUUCCGCAAUGGGCGAAAGCCUGACGGAGCAACGCCGCGUGAGUGAUGAAGGUCUUCGGAUCGUAAAACUCUGUUAUUAGGGAAGAACAUAUGUGUAAGUAACUGUGCACAUCUUGACGGUACCUUAUCAGAAAGCCACGGCUAACUACGUG
RNAcentral lists this ribosomal RNA (497 nucleotides) under uncultured bacterium. RNAcentral describes it as "partial 16S ribosomal RNA". It matches the Rfam family "Bacterial small subunit ribosomal RNA", at positions 28 to 507 of the family's 1533-position model. The record is from RNAcentral.